This 407-nucleotide ribosomal RNA is filed under the name Shigella flexneri. RNAcentral's name for it is "bacterial SSU rRNA". It matches the Rfam family "Bacterial small subunit ribosomal RNA", at positions 891 to 1298 of the family's 1533-position model. The record is from RNAcentral. Lineage: Bacteria; Pseudomonadati; Pseudomonadota; Gammaproteobacteria; Enterobacterales; Enterobacteriaceae.
AGGUUAAAACUCAAAUGAAUUGACGGGGGCCCGCACAAGCGGUGGAGCAUGUGGUUUAAUUCGAUGCAACGCGAAGAACCUUACCUGGUCUUGACAUCCACGGAAGUUUUCAGAGAUGAGAAUGUGCCUUCGGGAACCGUGAGACAGGUGCUGCAUGGCUGUCGUCAGCUCGUGUUGUGAAAUGUUGGGUUAAGUCCCGCAACGAGCGCAACCCUUAUCCUUUGUUGCCAGCGGUCCGGCCGGGAACUCAAAGGAGACUGCCAGUGAUAAACUGGAGGAAGGUGGGGAUGACGUCAAGUCAUCAUGGCCCUUACGACCAGGGCUACACACGUGCUACAAUGGCGCAUACAAAGAGAAGCGACCUCGCGAGAGCAAGCGGACCUCAUAAAGUGCGUCGUAGUCCGGAU